This 714-nucleotide ribosomal RNA is filed under the name Colletes omanus. RNAcentral's name for it is "eukaryotic LSU rRNA". It matches the Rfam family "Eukaryotic large subunit ribosomal RNA", at positions 366 to 810 of the family's 3401-position model. Lineage: Eukaryota; Metazoa; Arthropoda; Insecta; Hymenoptera; Colletidae. The record is from RNAcentral.
GAAAAGAACUUUGAAGAGAGAGUUCAAGAGUACGUGAAACCGUUCAGGGGUAAACCUGAGAAACCCAAAAGUCGAAUGGGGAGAUUCAUCGACGACGAAGCUGGCUCCCGUUGGCGUGCGAUUCCCCCGUUGGAGCCUCGGUUCCAGAACGCGGGGUACACCGCCUUCGGCGAACAACCGGCGACGUAGUCGUGCACUUCUCCCUUAGUAGAACGUCGCGACCCGUUGUGUGUCGGUCUACGGCCUGGGCUAUUUGCCUGUCGCGGUGGCACUCGUUCGCUCGCGGCAGAGGCUCGGUCGCCCGGCCGGCUGCACGACGGUACUCCGACGGUAUCGGGCCGCAACCAAUCCAUUCUCGAAUGGUAUAUGCGUCCAGGCCCGUCGCAAGCUCGGACAUGACCCGGAGCGUGUGGACGCAGCGCCCUCCCCGGGUCUGGCCAGCUGUUAGCAGACGGUGUCCUCGGACCGGCCAAGCUUCGAAUUACCGGUCAGCGACGCUAUUGCUUUGGGUACUCUCAGGACCCGUCUUGAAACACGGACCAAGGAGUCUAACAUGUGCGCGAGUCAUUGGGACAUUGAAACCUAAAGGCGAAAUGAAAGUGAAAGUCGUCGUAAGCGUCGACCAAGGGAGGAUGGGCCGCGUCACGUCGCGGCCUCGCACUCCCGGGGCGUCUCGUUCUCGUUGAGAAGAGGCGCACCCAGAGCGUACACGUU